This 63-nucleotide transfer RNA is filed under the name Brueelia antiqua. Its description in RNAcentral is "tRNA-His". The record is from RNAcentral. Lineage: Eukaryota; Metazoa; Arthropoda; Insecta; Psocodea; Philopteridae.
UCUAUGGUAGUUUAUUAAAAACAUUGACCUGUGGAGCCAAAGAAAAAUACAAUUUCCAUAGAU